RNAcentral lists this ribosomal RNA (156 nucleotides) under Euryale ferox. RNAcentral's name for it is "5.8S ribosomal RNA". It matches the Rfam family "5.8S ribosomal RNA". From Rfam's summary of the family: 5.8S ribosomal RNA (5.8S rRNA) is a component of the large subunit of the eukaryotic ribosome. The record is from RNAcentral. Lineage: Eukaryota; Viridiplantae; Streptophyta; Magnoliopsida; Nymphaeales; Nymphaeaceae.
CUCUCGGCAACGGAUAUCUUGGCUCCUGCCACGAUGAAGAACGUAGCGAAAUGCGAUACUUGGUGUGAAUUGCAGAAUCCCGUGAAUCAUCGAGUUUUUGAACGCAAGUUGCGCCUGAGGCCAUUCGGCUAAGGGCACGUCUGCCUGGGCGUCACG